This 253-nucleotide ribosomal RNA is filed under the name uncultured bacterium. RNAcentral's name for it is "partial 16S ribosomal RNA". It matches the Rfam family "Bacterial small subunit ribosomal RNA", at positions 524 to 776 of the family's 1533-position model. The record is from RNAcentral.
UACAGAGGUCUCAAGCGUUGUUCGGAUUCAUUGGGCGUAAAGGGUGCGUAGGCGGCCCGGUAAGUCGGGUGUGAAAUCUUGGAGCUUAACUCCGAAACUGCAUUCGAUACUGCCGUGCUUGAGGACUGGAGAGGAGACUGGAAUUUACGGUGUAGCGGUGAAAUGCGCAGAUAUCAGGAAGAACACCCGUGGCUAAGGCGGCGCUCUGGCACGGUACUGACGCUGAGACGCGAAAGCGUGGGGAGCGAACAGG